CCUACGGGGGGCAGCAGUAGGGAAUAUUGCUCAAUGGGGGAAACCCUGAAGCAGCAACGCCGCGUGGAGGAUGAAGGUUUUCGGAUUGUAAACUCCUUUUGUUAGAGAAGAUAAUGACGGUCUCUAACGAAUAAGCACCGGCUAACUCCGUGCCAGCGGCCGCGGUAAUACGGAGGGGGCAGCGGUUACCCGGAUUCCCUGGGCGUAAAGAGCGCGUAGGCGGGAUAGCAAGUCAGAAGUGAAAUCCUAGGGCUUAACCAUGGAACUGCUUUUGAAACUGUUAGUCUAGAGUAUGGGAGAGGUAGGGGGAAUUCGUGGUGUAGGGGUAAAAUGCGUAGAGAUCAAGAGGAAUACUGAUUGCGAAGGCGACCUGCUGGAACAUAACUGACGCUGAUGCGCGAAAGCGUGGGGAGCAAACAGGAUUAGAUACCCGGGUAGUC
Molecule: ribosomal RNA, 440 nt
Filed under: uncultured bacterium
Lineage: Bacteria
Description: partial 16S ribosomal RNA
Rfam family: Bacterial small subunit ribosomal RNA
Source: RNAcentral